Molecule: ribosomal RNA, 498 nt
Filed under: uncultured bacterium
Lineage: Bacteria
Description: partial 16S ribosomal RNA
Rfam family: Bacterial small subunit ribosomal RNA
Source: RNAcentral
GACGAACGCUGGCGGCGUGCCUAAUACAUGCAAGUCGAGCGGACGAAUCGAAAGCUUGCUUUUGAUUCGUUAGCGGCGGACGGGUGAGUAACACGUGGGCAACCUGCCCUGUAGACGGGGAUAACACCGAGAAAUCGGUGCUAAUACCGGAUAACACGAAAUGUCGCAUGACGUUUCGUUGAAAGACGGCGCACGCUGUCGCUACAGGAUGGGCCCGCGGCGCAUUAGCUAGUUGGUGAGGUAACGGCUCACCAAGGCGACGAUGCGUAGCCGACCUGAGAGGGUGAUCGGCCACACUGGGACUGAGACACGGCCCAGACUCCUACGGGAGGCAGCAGUAGGGAAUCUUCCGCAAUGGACGAAAGUCUGACGGAGCAACGCCGCGUGAGCGAAGAAGGCCUUCGGGUCGUAAAGCUCUGUUGUUAGGGAAGAACAAGCAACGCAGUAACUGGCGUUACCGUGACGGUACCUAACGAGAAAGCCACGGCUAACUACGUG